This 224-nucleotide ribosomal RNA is filed under the name uncultured bacterium. RNAcentral's name for it is "partial 16S ribosomal RNA". It matches the Rfam family "Bacterial small subunit ribosomal RNA", at positions 328 to 544 of the family's 1533-position model. The record is from RNAcentral.
ACGCUCGACACCUACGGGAGCAGCAGUAGGGAAUCUUCCACAAUGGACGCAAGUCUGAUGGAGCAACGCCGCGUGAGUGAAGAAGGUUUUCGGAUCGUAAAGCUCUGUUGUUGGUGAAGAAGGAUAGAGGUAGUAACUGGCCUUUAUUUGACGGUAAUCAACCAGAAAGUACACGGCUAACUACGUGUCAGCAGCCGCGGUAAUCUGAGCGGGCGUGGCAAGGC